GUGAAACUGCGGAAUGGCUCAUUAAAUCAGUUAUCGUUUAUUUGAUAGUACCUUACUACAUGGAUAACCGUGGUAAUUCUAGAGCUAAUACAUGCUAAAAACCUCGACUUCGGAAGGGGUGUAUUUAUUAGAUAAAAAACCAAUGCCCUUCGGGGCUCCUUGGUGAUUCAUAAUAACUUAACGAAUCGCAUGGCCUUGCGCCGGCGAUGGUUCAUUCAAAUUUCUGCCCUAUCAACUUUCGAUGGUAGGAUAGUGGCCUACCAUGGUUUCAACGGGUAACGGGAUUUUAGGGAAUGAUUCCGGAGAGGGAGCCUGAGAAACGGCUACCACAUCCAAGGAAGGCAGCAGGCGCGCAAAUUACCCAAUCCCGACACGGGGAGGUAGUGACAAUAAAUACUGAUACAGGGCUCUUUUGGGUCUUGUAAUUGGAAUGAGUACAAUUUAAAUCCCUUAACGAGGAACAAUUGGAGGGCAAGUCUGGUGCCAGCAGCCGCGGUAAUUCCAGCUCCAAUAGCGUAUAUUAAAGUUGUUGCAGUUAAAAAGCUCGUAGUUGAACCUUGGGCCUGGCUGGCCGGUCCGCCUCACCGCGUGCACUGGUCCGGCCGGGCCUUUCCUUCUGGGGAGCCUCAUGCCCUUCACUGGGUGUGCAGGGGAACCAGGACUUUUACUUUGAAAAAAUUAGAGUGUUCAAAGCAGGCCUAUGCUCGAAUACAUUAGCAUGGAAUAAUAGAAUAGGACGUGUGGUUCUAUUUUGUUGGUUUCUAGGACCGCCGUAAUGAUUAAUAGGGAUAGUCGGGGGUGUCAGUAUUCCGUUGUCAGAGGUGAAAUUCUUGGAUUUACGGAAGACUAACUACUGCGAAAGCAUUCACCAAGGAUGUUUUCAUUAAUCAGUGAACGAAAGUUAGGGGAUCGAAGACGAUCAGAUACCGUCGUAGUCUUAACCAUAAACGAUGCCGACUAGGGAUCGGGCGAUGUUAUCUUUUUGACUCGCUCCGCACCUUU
This 1002-nucleotide ribosomal RNA is filed under the name Lophodermium herbarum. Its description in RNAcentral is "SSU rRNA". It matches the Rfam family "Eukaryotic small subunit ribosomal RNA", at positions 81 to 1090 of the family's 1831-position model. Lineage: Eukaryota; Fungi; Ascomycota; Leotiomycetes; Rhytismatales; Rhytismataceae. The record is from RNAcentral.